Molecule: non-coding RNA, 440 nt
Organism: Phalacrocorax carbo (great cormorant)
Lineage: Eukaryota; Metazoa; Chordata; Aves; Suliformes; Phalacrocoracidae
Source: RefSeq, a predicted model, not a curated record
AAUGUGCUGGGAAACAAAAUAAGUGAAGAUGUUUUCACCCUCAGAAAAAGAUCCCCAAACCCCAACAUUCUCUUGAUAAUCUGGUGUUAUCCCUAUUUGGCAGAAAAGAAGCUGAGGAUGAAAAGAGAACUGACUACCUGGCAUACUGCUGCGAUGGGAGGCUGUUCUAGUGCUGUUCAGAAGCUCUCACUCUGGCUGUCUUGAGGCUUGGCUUCAUCUGCUGCCUGCCAUCCGUUUGGUGUGUGUACUUCUCUUGAACCCGUUUGGAGACCAAGAUGUGUAUUGAAGGCUCUUUGCACAGCCUCUGCAGUUUCAGACAGCUCGUAUGGAGAGUUACAAGGAUUCAACUGGGUGCCUAAACCAUGGUUUUGUUCCUGCCUGGCUCAUGGGAGAUGCUGUGGGUUGGACUGGCUUGCACAGUCUAGCCUUGGUGCAUGUGA